This 468-nucleotide ribosomal RNA is filed under the name uncultured bacterium. RNAcentral's name for it is "partial 16S ribosomal RNA". It matches the Rfam family "Bacterial small subunit ribosomal RNA", at positions 28 to 507 of the family's 1533-position model. The record is from RNAcentral.
GACGAACGCUGGCGGCGUGCUUAACACAUGCAAGUCGAACGGAAAGGCCCUGCUUUUGUGGGGUGCUCGAGUGGCGAACGGGUGAGUAACACGUGAGUAACCUGCCCUUGACUUUGGGAUAACUUCAGGAAACUGGGGCUAAUACCGGAUAGGAGCUCCUGCUGCAUGGUGGGGGUUGGAAAGUUUCGGCGGUUGGGGAUGGACUCGCGGCUUAUCCGCUUGUUGGUGGGGUAGUGGCUUACCAAGGCUUUGACGGGUAGCCGGCCUGAGAGGGUGACCGGCCACAUUGGGACUGAGAGACGGCCCAGACUCCUACGGGACGCAGCAGUGGGGAAUAUUGCACAAUGGGCGGAAGCCUGAUGCAGCAACGCCGCGUGCGGGAUGACGGCCUUCGGGUUGUAAACCGCUUUCGCCUGUGACGAAGCGUGAGUGACGGUAAUGGGUAAAGAAGCACCGGCUAACUACGUG